RNAcentral lists this long non-coding RNA (226 nucleotides) under Phoenix dactylifera (date palm). RNAcentral describes it as "long non-coding RNA (PDAC_LNC012674)". Lineage: Eukaryota; Viridiplantae; Streptophyta; Magnoliopsida; Arecales; Arecaceae. The record is from RNAcentral.
ACUUACCUAGAUUGGAUCCAAAUUGGUUCACCCUUGGGCUAAGCCUAAUUGGAUUAGGGCUUGACCACAUUAGGGCAUCCCAAUCCUUACUUAAUAAGGAUUAGGGCAACCAUGAAGGAGGGGCUCACGCCCCUCCUCCUUUGAUCCCUUGGUGCGGCAACAAGAGGGGCCGGCGCCCCUCUUGGUAAUACAUCAAGGGCUCCUAACUUGUAGGAGCCCUAGAUGG